CAAUAGCGUAUAUUAAAGUUGUUGCAGUUAAAAAGCUCGUAGUCGAACUUCGGGCCUGGCCGGGCGGUCUGCCUAACGGUAUGUACUGUCUGGCUGGGCCUUACCUCUUGGUGAGCCGGCAUGCCCUUAACUGGGUGUGUCGGUGAACCAGGACUUUUACCUUGAGAAAAUUAGAGUGUUCAAAGCAGGCCUAUGCUCGAAUACAUUAGCAUGGAAUAAUAAAAUAGGACGUGUGCUUCUAUUUUGUUGGUUUCUAGAGUCACCGUAAUGAUUAAUAGGGAUAGUUGGGGGCAUUAGUAUUCAGUUGCUAGAGGUGAAAUUCUUGGAUUUACUGAAGACUAACUUCUGCGAAAGCAUUUGCCAAGGAUGUUUUCAUUG
Molecule: ribosomal RNA, 378 nt
Filed under: uncultured eukaryote
Lineage: Eukaryota
Description: partial 18S ribosomal RNA
Rfam family: Eukaryotic small subunit ribosomal RNA
Source: RNAcentral